AGAAAGAUUCCGGUUGAUCCUGCCGGAGGCUACUGCUAUCGGGGUCCGACUAAGCCAUGCGAGUUGAGAGGGGUAAGCCCUCGGCAUAUUGCUCAGUAACACGCGGAUAACCUGCCCUUGGGUUUGGGAUAACCCCGGGAAACUGGGACUAAUACCGGAUAGAUCAAAGAUACUGGAAUGUUCUUUGUUCGAAAGCUCCGGCGCCCAAGGAUGGGUCUGCGGCCUAUCAGGUAGUAGUGGGUGUAACGUACCUACUAGCCUACGACGGGUAAGGGUUGUGAGAGCAAGAGCCCUGAGAUGGAUUCUGAGACAUGAAUCCAGGCCCUACGGGGUGCAGCAGGCGCGAAAACUUUACACUGCGGGAAACCGCGAUAAGGGGACCCCGAGUGCCAGCACCUAGUGCUGGCUGUCCAGCUGUUCAAAAAACAGUUGUUAGCAAGGGCCGGGCAAGACCGGUGCCAGCCGCCGCGGUAACACCGGCGGCCCGAGUGGUAGCCGUUAUUAUUGGGUUUAAAGGGUCCGUAGCCAGCCUAUUAAGUCUCUUGGGAAAUCUGGCGACUCAAUCGUCAGGCGUUCAAGAGAUACUGGUAGGCUUGGGACCGGGAGAGGUGGGAGGUACUCCAGGGGUAGGGGUGAAAUCUCGUAAUCCUUGGGGGACCACCGAUGGCGAAGGCAUCCCACCAGAACGGGUCCGACGGUGAGGGACGAAAGCUGGGGGCACGAACCGGAUUAGAUACCCGGGUAGUCCAGGGUGUAAACGCUGCUCGCUUGAUGUUAGUCGGGCUCCGAGCCCGACUAGUGUCGGAGAGAAGUUGCUAAGCGAGCUGCCUGGGGAGUACGGUCGCAAGACUGAAACUUAAAGGAAUUGGCGGGGGAGCACCGCAACGGGUGGAGCGUGCGGUUUAAU
This 907-nucleotide ribosomal RNA is filed under the name uncultured ANME-2 cluster archaeon. Its description in RNAcentral is "bacterial SSU rRNA". It matches the Rfam family "Archaeal small subunit ribosomal RNA", at positions 1 to 906 of the family's 1478-position model. Lineage: Archaea; Methanobacteriati; Methanobacteriota; Methanomicrobia; Methanosarcinales. The record is from RNAcentral.